AUUGAACGCUGGCGGCAUGCUUUACACAUGCAAGUCGAACGGUAACAGGCCUUCGGGUGCUGACGAGUGGCGAACGGGGGAGUAAUGCAUCGGAACGUACCCAGAGGUGGGGGAUAACGCAGCGAAAGCUGUGCUAAUACCGCAUGUGAUCUGAGGAUGACAGCGGGGGACCGAGCAGCAAUGUUUGGCCUCGCGCCUUUGGAGCGGCCGAUGUCGGAUUAGCUAGUUGGUGGGGUAAAGGCCUACCAAGGCGACGAUCCGUAGCUGGUCUGAGAGGACGACCAGCCACACUGGGAGUGAGACACGGCCCAGACUCCUACGGGAGGCAGCAGUGGGGAAUUUUGGACAAUGGGCGCAAGCCUGAUCCAGCAAUGCCGCGUGCGGGAAGAAGGCCUUCGGGUUGUAAACCGCUUUUGGCAGGAACGAAACGGUGUCCGCUAAUACCGGGCGCUAAUGACGGUACCUGCAGAAUAAGCACCGGCUAACUACGUG
RNAcentral lists this ribosomal RNA (492 nucleotides) under uncultured bacterium. Its description in RNAcentral is "partial 16S ribosomal RNA". It matches the Rfam family "Bacterial small subunit ribosomal RNA", at positions 29 to 507 of the family's 1533-position model. The record is from RNAcentral.